UCCCUGGUGGUCCAGUGUUUAAGACUCCAUGCUCCCAAAGCAGGGGAUCCAGGUUCAAUUCCUGGUCAGGGAA
Molecule: non-coding RNA, 73 nt
Organism: Bos taurus (domestic cattle)
Lineage: Eukaryota; Metazoa; Chordata; Mammalia; Artiodactyla; Bovidae
Source: Rfam